RNAcentral lists this transfer RNA (58 nucleotides) under Rudolgaea borealis. RNAcentral's name for it is "partial tRNA-Leu". It matches the Rfam family "tRNA", at positions 26 to 71 of the family's 71-position model. From Rfam's summary of the family: Transfer RNA (tRNA) molecules are approximately 80 nucleotides in length. The record is from RNAcentral. Lineage: Eukaryota; Viridiplantae; Streptophyta; Jungermanniopsida; Jungermanniales; Anastrophyllaceae.
GCGGACUUAAAAUCCGUUGGCUUUUUAGACCGUGAGGGUUCAAGUCCCUCUACCCCCA